AAACUAGAUAUGACUUAGUGGCGGACGGGUGAGUAACACGUGAGCAACCUGCCUUUCAGAGGGGGAUAACGGCUGGAAACGACUGCUAAUACCGCAUGAUGCAUAGGGGUCGCAUGAUUCUUAUGCCAAAGAUUUAUCGCUUCAAGAUGGCCUCGCGUCUGAUUAGCUGGUUGGCGGGGUAACGGCCCACCAAGGCGACGAUCAGUAGCCGGACUGAGAGGUUGAACGGCCACAUUGGGACUGAGAUACGGCCCAGACUCC
This 261-nucleotide ribosomal RNA is filed under the name uncultured Oscillibacter sp. RNAcentral's name for it is "partial 16S ribosomal RNA". It matches the Rfam family "Bacterial small subunit ribosomal RNA", at positions 64 to 339 of the family's 1533-position model. The record is from RNAcentral. Lineage: Bacteria; Bacillati; Bacillota; Clostridia; Eubacteriales; Oscillospiraceae.